This 462-nucleotide non-coding RNA is filed under the name Pongo abelii (Sumatran orangutan). The record is from RNAcentral. Lineage: Eukaryota; Metazoa; Chordata; Mammalia; Primates; Hominidae.
GGCCUCCCGCACCGAAGGGACUCUGGGCGUCUGAGGCCCUGAUCCGGGCGGGCCUUCAGGAUGUUAGCAGUCCCCGUCCGGUUGAAGGCCUGCGGGGCGGGGGCGGGGUGGCGCCCAGGACGACUCUCCGGGCUCAGCUUGGCUGCCUGCCUCCUUCUGUAAGUGUUUUUUUUUUUCUUCACCUGGGACCCUCUAGAGGUUGGAAAGAGAAGAGAGGCUGGGAGCGGAUGGAAAGCAUGACUGCAUCUGGAGCCCCUGGGGGGAGUGGGGAAGAGGGAGUGGAAGGACAGUGGCUGAGGGGCUUCCUGUUGCAGCCUUCAGCUGGACUCAGGGUUGGGAUCACUGGAGGAGGAGGUGGCUUCCUGCCCCAUUGUUCUGGACUGCAGUGUUUCUUGGGAAUACUUACUGUAUGUGGAUUUUCAGUAACCAACUUGGAAAGCUAUAUUUGUUCCCAUGAUUCAG